ACCGCGUAACAUUUUUCCCAUUCCCAUUGCAUUUCAUCAUCGUCGUGUGAAUCGGACUCGGUGCAUUCUCUCUGACUCAACAAACCCUCGUUGCGUUCGGUCAAAGUCAAUGGAUCGGUUCUUGUAUCGCGGAUCGAACCUUGAUCUGGUUUUUAGGAAUGUUUAAUUGCAGGUUCUGUCUACGUUCUCGAAUCAGGCAAAGAAUCGUUUAAAUCGAUGUAGAAUUUCAUCAAGUUUCGGUGGCGCCGGUGAUGAUCGUGGCUUUUCUGCGGUGGAUGUUGUCGAUCUCGUGUCGAAACGGAGUAAUUAACGCGAGAUACGUUGUUUAAUGAUGGUUGUAUUGGUAAAUUCCUGUAAGAGAUUAUGUUAUGCGGUUAUUGGAGGUUCUUGAUUGUUCUGUUGUUGAUGGACCUUUGCCAUGUCAGGUGCGCUUGCAUGGCAGGUCAGAAAAGCGUUAAUAAAAUUACUCUGUUUUUUGUUUGGGGGGAGGGAUGGCUUCGGGGGAGUUUUGUUUUCAUUUUUUUUCACCCCGAUUCUCUUCUGUCCCCCUCCCGUGUCGUGUUUUCGGUUUCCCCUUUCCCUUUUUCUUUUCUUUGCACUGUGAAUUCAUUUAUAUUCUUAACUGCUCACUAUAUCGGAAACCGCCUCAACGAAACAACACACGAUUGGCAACUCGGUAAGGUACAUGGUGCUCAACGCACACUUUAAUUUAUUUUAAUUGCGUUACAUAUGAAUUACCGUAUACAAUUUUACAAUCCAUAAUGAUUAACAUUAUGCUUCGCAUGUAAUUAAUUUAUUGUUUUGGUAAUUAAAAUAAAUGGCAAUCGGUAUAAUUGCUCCAUGUUAUACAUGCAUGUGUUUUAUAUUUAUGCAGUCAUUCAUUUAUUUAUUUUAGUGAUUUGAAAUGAUUUUGGAGUCUCUUUCAAUCAAAUGAUUCUAUCAAUAUUAUAAUUACAAAUGUGUACUUGGUUGAUUUAUUGUUUUGGUAAUUAAAAUAAAAGGCAAUCGGUAUAAUUACUGCAUGUUACAUGUUUGUUAAUGCUAUGAUUUUAUGGUUUCGUUAAUAAAUCAAUUAUUUACAUAUAUACAGACAUAUGGAUUGUAUUUUUGUAAUUAGUAAUGAAUUGGAUGUCUCUUUCAAUUAAAUGACUCGUUCAAUAAUAUAUAAUCAGUAUACUAUCUCCUUCAAAAUAUAGCAGUUCAGCUUGCGCCUGGCUGGUUAUGUUCACUAUAAUUUUGAUUAAUUAAAAAUUAAGUAUUUUGCAUUAACAAUAGCACUAAUUUUUAAUAUCAGUUUCAAAUUUGUAAAUUCUUCCACAAUUGAAUCAAAGUGGCUAUGUGUCAUCUAAAAAUUUCUGUCCAUAGAUGGGUAAUUUUAUAAUAAAAAAGGUGCAAAUGGUUAUUUGUUAUUGAGUUCUCAUGCGGAUUAUUUCAGCCAGAUGAAGUAUCUAAUCUCAUGUUCCAACUUUUUCAUUCGGUGUAUAUGUAUAUUUAGGUUUAUUUUUUUUUUUAUAUAUAUAUAUAUAUGUAUAUGUAUAUUUAUAUUUAUAUUUAUUUAUUUAUUGUGAUCCAUGUUACAACUACAAGCAGUAGCAUUGGCUAUU
Non-coding RNA from Cajanus cajan (pigeon pea), 1604 nucleotides. The record is from RefSeq and is a predicted model, not a curated record. Lineage: Eukaryota; Viridiplantae; Streptophyta; Magnoliopsida; Fabales; Fabaceae.